CAAAAACAUUGCUUUCUGAAUUUAUAUAGAAAGUACCUCCUGCCCAGUGAAAAAUUUUUAACGGCCGCGGUAUCCUAACCGUGCAAAGGUAGCAUAAUCACUUGCCUAUUAAUUGUAGGCUAGAAUGAAAGGAUAAACGAAAUAUAAGCUGUCUCAACUAGUAAUCUAAAAACUAUUCACCACAUGAAGAAAUGUGGAUAAAAUAGAAGGACAAGAAGACCCUAUAGAGCUUUAUACUAAAACAGAACUACACUAUUAAAGUAUUCGGUUGGGGCGACCAAGGGAAUCAAUUAUCACCCUUAAAUUAAAAGAUAUAUUAAUCAAUAUAUUGACCCUAUUAAGAUCAUAAAAACAAGCUACCUUAGGGAUAACAGGCUAAUCCCAUUCAAGAGUCCAUAUCGACAAUGGGGGUUGGCACCUCGAUGUUGGCUUAGGGUAUCUAUGUAGCGCAAAAGUUAUAUAAAGAUGGUUUGUUCAACCAAUAAUUCCCUACGUGAUCU
Molecule: ribosomal RNA, 500 nt
Filed under: Dichogaster sp. Dom
Lineage: Eukaryota; Metazoa; Annelida; Clitellata; Crassiclitellata; Megascolecidae
Description: partial 16S ribosomal RNA
Rfam family: Bacterial large subunit ribosomal RNA
Source: RNAcentral